RNAcentral lists this microRNA precursor (96 nucleotides) under Marmota monax (woodchuck). Lineage: Eukaryota; Metazoa; Chordata; Mammalia; Rodentia; Sciuridae. The record is from RNAcentral.
AGUGGAAUUACUGGAUUAUAUGACAGUUCUGUUUUUUGAAGAAUCUAUACAGUAUUUUUGAUAAUGGCUGUACUAAUUUAUAUUCCCACUAAUGAU